AACGCACGAGACCUGCGGACCUGCGGAAGGAUCAUUAUUGUGGGGGGCCCAGGUUAGACUUGGCAAGGGGGGUGCAGAUUCUACUGUUUUCACUGUACCCCGCUUGCGACUGAGGCCCCCUUUUAAGAGUAACGGGUGCAACAGGUUUCGUGUCCCAUCUGCAAGCCGAACGCGAGCUACAGAUCUGGACACCUUUGCCACAGUUAGGGUUAAGUCUAUCGCCCCGCGGAUUGAUCACGG
RNAcentral lists this unclassified non-coding RNA (240 nucleotides) under soil metagenome. RNAcentral's name for it is "partial contains 5.8S ribosomal RNA, internal transcribed spacer 2, and large subunit ribosomal RNA". The record is from RNAcentral.